This 136-nucleotide small RNA is filed under the name Pseudomonas sp. 8Z. Its description in RNAcentral is "P11". It matches the Rfam family "Pseudomonas sRNA P11". Rfam says of the family: P11 is located between a putative threonine protein kinase and putative nitrate reductase and appears to be conserved in several Pseudomonas species. The record is from RNAcentral. Lineage: Bacteria; Pseudomonadati; Pseudomonadota; Gammaproteobacteria; Pseudomonadales; Pseudomonadaceae.
GGCUCAGCAACUUGGCACAAGCGCUGCAUCAUGUUCAGCACAACCGAUUAAAGCGCGCUGUCAACGAAGAGAGCGCACUGCCCGAUAGUUCGGGAUCUGGACAAAGGCGUCCUCGCUAGGCAACUGGCGGGACGCC